UGAGGAAUUUUGCGCAAUGGGGGAGACCCUGACGCAGCAACGCCGCGUGGGUGAAGAAGGCCUUCGGGUCGUAAAGCCCUGUCAGGUGGGAAGAAGGACUUGAGGGCGAACAGCCCUUGAGGGUGACGGUACCACCAGAGGAAGCACCGGCUAACUCCGUGCCAGCAGCCGCGGUAAUACGGAGGGUGCGAGCGUUAUUCGGAAUUACUGGGCGUAAAGCGCGUGUAGGCGGCCCAAGCAGUCUGAUGUGAAAGCCCCGGGCUUAACCUGGGAAGCGCAUUGGAUACUUUUGGGCUUGAGUACUGGAGAGGAAGGGGGAAUUCCCGGUGUAGAGGUGAAAUUCGUAGAGAUCGGGAGGAAUACCAGUGGCGAAGGCGCCCUUCUGGACGGUUACUGACGCUGAGACGCGAAAGCGUGGGGAGCAAACAGG
This 430-nucleotide ribosomal RNA is filed under the name uncultured bacterium. RNAcentral's name for it is "bacterial SSU rRNA". It matches the Rfam family "Bacterial small subunit ribosomal RNA", at positions 355 to 776 of the family's 1533-position model. The record is from RNAcentral.